GCCGGGUGUGGUGGCGGGCGCCUGUAGUCCCAGCUACUAGGGAGGCUGAGGCAGGAGAAUCACUUGAACCCGGGAGGCAGAGGUUGUGGUGAGCCGAGAUCGCGCCACUGCACUCCAGCCUGGGCAACAGAGUGAGACCCUGUCUCAA
RNAcentral lists this non-coding RNA (148 nucleotides) under Pan troglodytes (chimpanzee). The record is from Rfam by way of RNAcentral. Lineage: Eukaryota; Metazoa; Chordata; Mammalia; Primates; Hominidae.